UAGCGACAGGCCUAACACAUGCAAGUCGAGGGGCAGCACAAGGAGCAAUCUGAGGUGGCGACCGGCGCACGGGUGAGUAACACGUAUGCAACCUGCCUGUAAGCGGGGAAUAACCCGUUGAAAGACGGACUAAUACCGCAUAAUACUAAAUUACUGCAUGGUAAUUUAUUUAAACAUUUAUGGCUUACAGAUGGGCAUGCGCAUGAUUAGCUAGUUGGAGAGGUAACGGCUCCCCAAGGCAACGAUCAUUAGGGGUUCUGAGAGGAAGGUCCCCCACACUGGUACUGAGACACGGACCAGACUCCUACGGGAGGCAGCAGUGAGGAAUAUUGGUCAAUGGACGAGAGUCUGAACCAGCCAAGUCGCGUGCAGGAAGAAUGUCCUAUGGAUUGUAAACUGCUUUUGCAGGGGAAUAAAGUGCAUCACGUGUGAUGUUUUGUAUGUACUCUGCGAAUAAGGAUCGGCUAACUCCGUGCCAGCAGCAGC
Molecule: ribosomal RNA, 486 nt
Filed under: uncultured bacterium
Lineage: Bacteria
Description: bacterial SSU rRNA
Rfam family: Bacterial small subunit ribosomal RNA
Source: RNAcentral